RNAcentral lists this ribosomal RNA (472 nucleotides) under uncultured bacterium. RNAcentral describes it as "SSU rRNA". It matches the Rfam family "Bacterial small subunit ribosomal RNA", at positions 26 to 518 of the family's 1533-position model. The record is from RNAcentral.
AGGACGAACGCUGGCGGUGUGCUUCACACAUGCAAGUCGAACGAGGUAGCAAUACCUAGUGGCGGACGGGUGAGUAACGCGUGGGAAUCUGCCUUUAGAUGGGGGAUAACGGGCCGAAAGGUCCGCUAAUACCGCAUAGGCCGCAAGGUUAAAGGAGUAAUCCGUCUAAAGAUGAGCCCGCGUCCGAUUAGCUAGUUGGUAGGGUAAAAGCCUACCAAGGCGACGAUCGGUAGCUGGUCUGAGAGGAUGAUCAGCCACAAUGGGACUGAGACACGGCCCAUACUCCUACGGGAGGCAGCAGUGGGGAAUUUUGUGCAAUGGGCGAAAGCCUGACACAGCGACACCGCGUGAGCGAAGAAGCCCUUUGGGGUGUAAAGCGCUUUUGUCAGGGAAGAAACGCUCCGGGCUAAUACCUUGGAGUAAUGACGGUACCUGAAGAAUAAGCACCGGCUAACUACGUGCCAGCAGCCGC